RNAcentral lists this ribosomal RNA (328 nucleotides) under uncultured eukaryote. Its description in RNAcentral is "partial 18S ribosomal RNA". It matches the Rfam family "Eukaryotic small subunit ribosomal RNA", at positions 1471 to 1796 of the family's 1831-position model. The record is from RNAcentral.
CCCUUGAUGUUCUGGGCCGCACGCGCGCUACACUGACGAUGGCAACGAGUUUUUCCUUCGCCGAAAGGUGUGGGUAAUCUUUUGAAACAUCGUCGUGCUGGGGAUAGAUCAUUGCAAUUUUUGAUCUUGAACGAGGAAUUCCUAGUAAGCGCGAGUCAUCAGCUCGCGUUGAUUACGUCCCUGCCCUUUGUACACACCGCCCGUCGCUACUACCGAUUGAAUGGUUUAGUGAGGACUCCUGAUUGGCGCCGCCGCCCCGGCAACGGAGCAGCGGACUGCCGAAAAGUUGUUCAAACUUGAUCAUUUAGAGGAAGUAAAAGUCGUAACA